UUCUUUUUUUUCCCCCAAACUAUAUUAAACCAUGUGUCUUUGUCUGUGUUCAUUGGUGCAGUUGACUAUGAGGUCAAGUACCUGGAGCUUGAAAUACUUGGUAAAGGAAGCUUUGGCUCAGUUUAUGCCGGCCAUAGGAGGUCUGAUGAUUUACUAGUGGCGAUAAAACACAUCCCCUAAUCGUCUGUUCCGCCUCAAAGAGUGAUGUUAAAUGGGAGGCCACACAGUAUUCCCAAGGAGGUGCUGCUCAUGCAGAAAGCUGCAGGCGAACCAAUGACUGUGGGUUAAUGGACUGGUACGAUCUGGACCAAGUGUUUAUACUGGUCAUGGAGAGGUCUAUGGAACUGCUGUGCUUCAUAAAGGAGAACUGUGGUCCGAUGGCCGAGGCUGUUGCAAAGGUACUGUUGUUUUAUUCUUUGUGUGAGCUGUUUCUCAGACUACAACUGAAAAGGUCGUCAUUUUAAAUAUCAUCCCUUUCAGUGGAGAGUGUUUGGCUGCUAUCACACCCAUAUUUAAUUUGGGUCCAAUCACAAAUAUGGCGACGCCUGCGAUUUCUGGCAGGCAACUCGAGCUGCGCUGCGCCAAUCAUGUGACAUACAUCAUGUGACAUACAUCAUGUGACAUACAUCAUGUGACAUACCUCAAUCUCCACAGCCAUCUAUAAUACACACCCACCGUAUCAGGUGGUCUAUUUAACCAGAGAGACAUUACCAGUCAACCCCUCUUGAUCGCACUGCUGCUGCAGUAUUGCUACCUGUUGCUUCAGCUCCUCCAUCACCCCAGCAUCCACCUGUAGGCUCCAACGGGGGGUUUCAAGUAUUUGGUCAUCACUCCCAUCAUUCCUGUGUAAUCAUAUGGGGGAGUGAUUAAGUUGGAGC
Long non-coding RNA from Platichthys flesus (European flounder), 878 nucleotides. RefSeq lists it as uncharacterized. The transcript is spliced from 3 exons. NCBI's taxonomy places the organism in Eukaryota, Metazoa, Chordata, Actinopteri, Pleuronectiformes, Pleuronectidae. The record is from RefSeq and is a predicted model, not a curated record.